Molecule: ribosomal RNA, 435 nt
Filed under: uncultured bacterium
Lineage: Bacteria
Description: bacterial SSU rRNA
Rfam family: Bacterial small subunit ribosomal RNA
Source: RNAcentral
ACGAACGCUGGCGGUGUGCUUCACACAUGCAAGUCGAACGAGGUAGCAAUAUCUAGUGGCGGACGGGUGAGUAACGCGUGGGAAUCUGCCCAAGGGUGGGGGAUAACUAGCCGAAAGGUUAGCUAAUACCGCAUAUGCCGUGAGGUAAAAGGAGUAAUCCGCCCCUGGAUGAGCCUGCGUCUGAUUAGCUAGUUGGUAGGGUAAAGGCCUACCAAGGCUUCGAUCAGUAGCUGGUCUGAGAGGACGAUCAGCCACAAUGGGACUGAGACACGGCCCAUACUCCUACGGGAGGCAGCAGUGGGGAAUUUUACGCAAUGGGCGAAAGCCUGACGUAGCGACACCGCGUGAGCGAAGAAGCCCUUUGGGGUGUAAAGCUCUGUCAGCAGGAACGAAAAAAAUGACGGUACCUGCAGAGGAAGCAUCGGCUAACUACGU